UCGAGCGGAAACGAUGAUAGCUUGCUAUCAGGCGUCGAGCGGCGGACGGGUGAGUAAUACUUAGGAAUCUACCUAGUAGUGGGGGAUAGCUCGGGGAAACUCGAAUUAAUACCGCAUACGACCUACGGGAGAAAGGGGGCAACUUGUUGCUCUCGCUAUUAGAUGAGCCUAAGUCGGAUUAGCUAGAUGGUGGGGUAAAGGCCUACCAUGGCGACGAUCUGUAGCUGGUCUGAGAGGAUGAUCAGCCACACCGGGACUGAGACACGGCCCGGACUCCUACGGGAGGCAGCAGUGGGGAAUAUUGGACAAUGGGGGCAACCCUGAUCCAGCCAUGCCGCGUGUGUGAAGAAGGCCUUUUGGUUGUAAAGCACUUUAAGCAGUGAAGAAGACUCCAUGGUUAAUACCCAUGGACGAUGACAUUAGCUGCAGAAUAAGCACCGGCUAACUCUGUGCCAGCAGCCGCGGUAAUACAGAGGGUGCAAGCGUUAAUCGGAAUUACUGGGCGUAAAGCGAGCGUAGGUGGCUUGAUAAGUCAGAUGUGAAAUCCCCGGGCUUAACCUGGGAACUGCAUCUGAUACUGUUAGGCUAGAAUAGGUGAGAGGAAGGUAGAAUUCCAGGUGUAGCGGUGAAAUGCGUAGAGAUCUGGAGGAAUACCGAUGGCGAAGGCAGCCUUCUGGCAUCAUAUUGACACUGAGGUUCGAAAGCGUGGGUAGCAAACAGGAUUAGACACCCUGGUAGUCCACGCCGUAAACGAUGUCUACUAGUCGUUGGGUCCCUUGAGGACUUAGUGACGCAGCUAACGCAAUAAGUAGACCGCCUGGGGAGUACGGCCGCAAGGUUAAAACUCAAAUGAAUUGACGGGGGGCCCGCACAAGCGGUGGAGCAUGUGGUUUAAUUCGAUGCAACGCGAAGAACCUUACCUGGUCUUGACAUAUCUAGAAUCCUGCAGAGAUGCGGGAGUGCCUUCGGGAAUUAGAA
This 978-nucleotide ribosomal RNA is filed under the name uncultured Psychrobacter sp. RNAcentral describes it as "bacterial SSU rRNA". It matches the Rfam family "Bacterial small subunit ribosomal RNA", at positions 62 to 1032 of the family's 1533-position model. The record is from RNAcentral. Lineage: Bacteria; Pseudomonadati; Pseudomonadota; Gammaproteobacteria; Moraxellales; Moraxellaceae.